UCUAUUUUUGUCCUUUUUUUUUUUUUUUUUUUUUUUUUUUUUGCUGGAGUGCAGUGGUGCCAUCUCAGCUUACUGGCAAGCUCUGCCUCCCGGGUUCACCACCUUCUCCUGCCUCAGCCUCCCGAGUGAGUAGCUGGGACUACAGGCACCCGCUAGCCACCAUGCCUGGCUAAUUUUUUGUAUUUUUAGUAGAGACAGGGUUUCAUCGUGUUAGCCAGGAUGGUCUCGAUCUUGACCUUGUGAUCCACCCUCGUCGGCCUCCCAAAGUGCUGGGUAUUUUUGCACUUUUUAAAAACUUUUUAAAUGUUUUGUUAAAAGCUAGGACAAAAUUACAUUGGCACAGACCUAUGCAGGGACAGGAUUAUCAGUAUUACUGUUUUCCAUAUCCACAUCUUUUCCUACUGAAUGUUCUUCAUUCCGUCUGCAGGGACAGUAACAUGCAUGGAAUACCAAGGCAUACCAAUGCCUUCUUCUGGAAUACCUCUUGAAAGAGCCUGCUUCAGGCUGUUUUACAGUUAGCUUUCUUUUGUAAGUAGAAGGAGUAUACUCAAAAAUAAUGAUUAAAAGUAUAGUAUAGUAAAUAUAUAAACCAGUAACAUCAUUGUUUAUUAUAAUGAUCAAGUAUUAUGUACUGUACAUAAUUGUAUGUGCUGUACUUUUGCAGGACUGGCAGCACAGCAGCGUCCUCACAAACACCUGAGUAAUGCAUUAGGCAAGGACAUUACAAUGGCUCUGCAUCACUAGGCAGCAGGAAUUUUUCAACUCCCUUAUAAUAUUUUUGUUUUUUCCCUUUCCAACUUUUAUUUUAGGUUCAAGGGGUCCAUGUGCAGGUUUGUUACAUGGAUAAAUUUUGUGCUUUAGGGGUUUGGUGUACAGAUAAUUUUGUCAUGCAGGUAAUCAGCAUAAUAAUAGUCCCCUCCUUCUACCCUCCACCCUCAAGUAAGCCCUGGUGUCCACUGUUUCCUUCUUCAUGUUCAUAUGUGCUCAAUGUUUAGCUCCCACUUAGCAGGGAGAACAUGUGAUAUUUGUUUUUCUGUUUCUAUGUUAAUUCACUUAGGAUAAUGGUCUCCAGCUCCAUCCAUGUGGCCACAAAGGACAUGAUUUGUCUUUUUAUUGGCUGCACAAUAUUCCAUACUACAUAUGUGCUACAUUUUCUUUAUCUAGUCCACUGUUGAUGGGCAUCUAGGUUGGUGUCAUGUCUUUGAUAUUAUGAAUAGUGCUGUGAUUAACAUACAUGUGUGAGUGUCUCUAUGGCAGAACAAUUUCUGUUCCUUUGGAUAUGUAACCAGUAAUGAGAUUGCUGGGUUGAAUGGUAGUUCUAUUUGAAAUUCUUUGAGAAAUCUUCAAACUGCUUUCCACAGUGAUCACGGCAAUCAAGCAAGAGAAAGAAAUAAAAGGGAUCUAAAUAGAAAGAGAGGAAAUUAAACUACUUCUCUUUGAAAACUAUAUGAUUUCAUACCUAGAAAACCCCAUAGUCUGCCCAAAUGCUCCUGUCUCUGUGAACAACUUCAGCAAAGUUUCAGGAUACAAAAUCAAUGUACAAAAGUUAGUAGCAUUUCUACACAUCACUAACAUCCAAGCUGAGAGUCAAAUCAAGAAUGCAAUUCCAUUCACAAUAGUCCAUUAUAAUCUUAUGGAGCCACUGUGUAUAUGUGAUCCAUCAUUGACUGAAAUGUCAUUAUUUGCUAUAUGUCUGUCUGUAUUUACUCUUCCCUCUGAAUUCAAAAAUCCCCUUGUUCUGAUAUUCAGAUGAUAGUGAUAUUUUAGUCUUCGUUCAUGCAUUGAAAUGCUAUAUGAAAAGUAGGCAUACAAAUUCUCGAAGAUCACUGUAUAUAUCUCCCUUGCUUAGGGAUUCUUAUUCUUUACUCUUCUUAUUUUAUAUACUCUGUUUAGUUGAUUACAAGGAAAACAAACUCAGCAAGAUCAAACUUGAAUGCAUCAUCUCUCUCUUCCAAUCAUCUACUCCCUCUUUUCGCUUUUGAUCAAUGAAGUCCCACAAAGAAACCUGGUGGUCAUCCUGUUCUUUACUACUUCCCCCCCCAGCAAACACCCAGACAUAGCCAAUGACCCAGUAGGUCUUAUAUAUUCCACCCUCAUUACCAUCUAUCUAUCCUUACAUUGCACCUAGAGUGAAUUAAAACAAACAAAAAACCCAUUUUGAGAUAAUUAUAAAUUCACAUGCAGUUGUGAGAAAUAAUAGAGAUUCUUUAUGUAUGUCACCUAGUUUUCCCCAAAGGUAACAUCUUGCAUAUUAUAGUAUAGAAUCACAUACUGGAAAUUGACAUUGAUACUCUGUUAGUCCAGUCAAACUACUAUAAAAUAUACCAUAAAAUCAGUGUCUUAUAAACAACAGAAAUUUAUUUCUCACGGUUCUGAAGGGUGGAGAAUCCAAGGUAAAGGAGCCAGUAAAUUCAGUGCUUGCUGAGGGCCUGCUUUAUGGUUCAGCCUCUGUGGGAGGGUAGGAGCCUGCUUUCUAUAAGCACCAGUAACAAACUCAGAUGGGUUUAACAUGGAGCAACCCCGCUUUCCAAUUUUUGUAAUUUUUCCACUUCCCUGACUUUACUGAGUCUCUGCUCACCAGCCCUGCAUUCCUUCAUUCUUCCUUUAAAAUGCCUGGUGACCUCUGUACAAAUUGAUCUCCACUUUAACUAGUGUCCUUCCAGCUUUGACAGGUUUUUCUUUGACAGUAGUGAUAUUUCAUUAUGGUUUUAAUUUGCAUUCCUCUAAUGGCUAAUUUUGUUGAACAUAUUUUUAUGCUCGUAUUUGCCAUCUGCAUAUACUCUUCAGUAAAAUGUGUUACCCUUUUGCACAUUUUAUUUUGUUUUGUUUUAUACUGUUGACUUUUGAGAGCUUCUUAUAUAUUCUAAAUAAUUGUCCUGUGUCGCAUAUGUUGUUUGCAAAUACUUUCUUAUAGUCUGUAACCACAGGGACUUUUGCUAAACAAAAUUUUUUUCAUCCUGGUAUGCUCCAAUUUAGAGAUUUUAUAUUUUGUGAAUCAUGCUAUUGGUGUGAAGUCUAAGAACUCUUCCUAGUCCCAAGACUCGAAGAUUUUCUCUGCUUUUUUCUAAAUAUUUUAUAGUUUUACAUUUUAAAAUUAAGUUUAUGAUCUAUUUUCAGUUAAUUUCUUUAUAAACAAAACUUUCGUGGAGUUUUAGUAGAUAUUAUAUUAUAAUUUGGAAAUUGACCUUGCUAGUAUUUCUUUUGAGUCUUUUAAUCUGUGAACAUGGUAUGUUUCUUCAUUUAUUUGUUUUUUUAAUUAUUUUAUCAGCAUUUUGUAAUUUUCAAGAUGCUGUAUAUGUUUUUAUUAGGCUUAUGCCUAAAUAUUUUAUUGCCUUUGGAGCAAUUAUAAAUAGUAUUGUGUUUUUUAAAAUUUCAAUUUCCAUAUGUUCAUUGUUAGCAUAUAGAAAUGCAAUUUGUUUUUGUGUAUCAAUUUUGUGUCCUGCAAUUUUGUUGUACUUCCUUAUUAAUGCGUGAGUUUUCUAUGUACAAAAUCAUAUCAACCUGCAAAUAGGGUCAGUUUUCUUUCUUUGCAAUGUGUAUAACAUUUAUUUAGAGUGUUAUGUUUUAAUGAACUCAUAAUCAUAUCUCACCCCUUUCAAUAGCCUCCCUUUUUUUCAUAAAUUAAUCCUUAGAAGAGAAUAUAGACUGUUCAGGAUCUCUACUUCCUCUACUCUGUAAACCUCAUCCCAUGAUAUUUUAACAUUAACCUACUUCACAGUCUGGCUCAGCUGUUUUUAGUUUGCAGAAUUUAAUGUGUUUUACCUUGAUCCUGGGUCUUGGUGCAUGCAUCCUUUCCCCCAGUUACCAGCUACUCAGCUCAAGAUUCACAUCCUCCAGAAACCAUGGACUAACCUCUUCAAAAUGAUGUCCAACUUAUCUGCUUUGUCAGAGUCUGUAACAGCUCGAAUAAGACCUGUUUGUGUCAUUCUGUUUCUUAGCCACUACACUGUAACUUCCUUGAGAGAAGGCGUUGGCCUUUUAGCUCUAGAUCCUAAGUAUUUGUUAUCAUGCUUGGCACAUGGUAGAAAUACAGUGAAGGUUUGUUGAAUGAGUGAAUAAAUACUCUAAUUAGAUAGUUAAUAUAUACCUUUUUUUCCAUUAGAGAUUAUUAAUCUAACUCUCCAAAAAAUGUUCUUAAACAAUCAACCUGAUUUACUACCAAGAUGUUCAAUGGAUAAAAAAAUUUACCUCAGCAGUGAGCCACACUUGUAUGACUCUGUAAAAAGUCCUUUCUCAAUGUAUUUACUAUAGUUAAUUCUCAAAAAGGCUUUGUGAGAUGUGUAUUAUUCCAAUGCUUAUUUUUCCCAAAGGGAAACAAAGCUCAAGGAGGUUAAAUCAUUUUCCAGGAUUAUAUUAUACAACUAAGUGACUGAAGCUGACUCACUGCCAGGACUUCUGACCCUAAAGUAUAUAUUAUUUUAGCUCCAUAAAUACAUCAACAGACGUCUGCAAUAGUAAAGUCUGCAUGCCAAUUUGUUUUUCCCAAUACUGGUGAUAAAUUUGCACAGAUAGGUGUAAACUCUCUUACUUGUCCCCCAGGUAUCUCUCUGAGGUCUUUGACAGGGCCAGAAAUAAGUCUGUGCUCAUAGGGAAGGAGAGCACCACAUCUACUCGUCCCAUAUUUUAACCAGUUAUACCAACUUCCCAGAAGGAUGGAUUUAAAUUGCUAGAUGAUCUAUUUUAAAUAAGAUAAAUUUAGUAUAUCUGACUACAUCCUUAGAAUCUCUUUCCAGAUAACUCUUUUUUUGAGUCUCUAUUAGAUUAUUUUUAACAUACUAUCAUCUUAAUUUUAAAAGAUAGUAGUUCUGAAUUAAAAAAGAAAUUCAAUCAACAUGUAAAAUGAGCAAAACCUUUAGCCAGUCAUUGAGUUAUGUACAUUAACUUUUGACUGAAGUCUAGCAGCUUCAAAUUUUUAUGUAUUAAUGUUUUUCAUAAAACACUAUAUUUGUUUAUAUUGUGAACUACCAAAGAAAAAACUACCAAGGAAAAAUACCAAAAUAUUUGAUCAUGAAUUGUAAACAUUUCAUAAAAACUAUGACUAUGUAGAAAAAAUAUAUAGUAUAUUUUUAAUUUACUUUCUGGGUUCCAUAUUAUUUUGAGUUUGGCAGAGAAGCUUUAUCCUGUGGUAAUUUUUUUGUACUCUUUAUUCAUUGGAAAAUAUACACAGCUGUCUGUUUGUUUGUUUGUUUGUUUUUAACCUUUGUUCCUGGGGAAACAAAAUCUGAUAUACUAGCAAGAUAAGGGGUACAUAUAAAAGUCACAGCAUAGCUAAGGCUAGUUAAAUACUUAAAACAUAUUUGAGCUUUCAAAAACUUCACAGUAUCCCUAGGAUAUGGUCUUCAGGGAAAGGGCAGUGACCCUGUGUCUUUCUUUAGACUAUUAUUAAAAAGACAAGUUGGCAGUCUGAGCUCAGUUUCUUUUACCCCAUUUAUUAAUACCGUCAAAGUCUUUUGCAAAGUCCUCUUCAAAAGAUCUUCCCCUUUUCAAGUUUUAGACCUUGAAGAGUUCCUAUUAAAAAUAACCCAUUUACAGGGACUUUAUUCUUCAUAUACAGAAAGUCUUAAAUAUAUUUUAUAUAAUGAAAUGGACUAAAUUCUCAAAGUUCCCACAAUGCUAUUCUGAGAAUGUGUCACAGUCUAUGUGAUUGGAACUCAACAUGUUAAAUUAAGACUAGCAAAUUUGAAAAUAGGUAUACAAAAUCUAACCAUCAUGUUACAGUCUCAAUUCUGCCUCAUGAGAUGACUGUUGUUAUGAAGGAACUCAGUGGUUCUUUUAAUAUAAAGAAUAUUUGUGUUGAGAAGGUAGACCUCAUGUUAACUGUUCUUACCACCCAAAACAGAGGGCACAGUGAAACUUUGGAAGGUGUUGGAUAUGUCUAUUACCUUGAUUGUGAUAAUGGGCCAAACUCAUCAAAUUGUACAUAUUACAUAUGUGUGGGUUUUGUACAUCAACCGUACUUUAAUAAAUCUGGUAAAAAUGAUAAUUUUGUUAUUAAAAUAUUCUUGGUAUCAUGAAUGCUGAUGCACUUGUUGUGCUAUGACUUAAGAAUGUAGGGGGCAAAUUAGAAGGAAAAAAUUACUUACUGGAGAAGAGCAAAUUCUUGCAUAUGGUACUAACAAUGGCGAAAAAGAUAAAUUACUUCCAAAUCGUUUAUGGCCAUUGAAAACCUGAAAGAAGUCUUACGAGGUUUUCAUCAUUUAAGAAGCCACAUUCUGCGAGAAGACUGGCGAUUAAUUUGCUUGUUUACUUUCUUUAAAACCACUUGAUAUACUCUAGCAAGCCACUUCGAUACACAAAGUAUAUUUAAUUCAUUAUUUUUAUACACCAUUAUGUGGUUGGCUUUAAUAAAUCACUCAAAGUAGUAGAGUUUAAAGAAAAGCAAAACAAUAGAAUACUUAAAAUUAUUUAGUUAAAAGAAGAUCCCUUAAUUACCCCACUUUUAGAAAAUGAUAAUAUAUAAUUUUUUUGUUUAUGACUUAGCCUGCAUUUAGAUUUUAAUUUAAACCAAGAAAAUUAUUUAUUAGAGGGUUAUUAAGCAGGUUUUACAUUGCAGCUGUUCCAGUCCUUCAGGUAAAUACUCAUUGAGAGAGCUUAUUAAAGUUUGCUCUACUUAUUUAUGUUUAAAUUCUUAUUCUUUUUCCCUUGUGUGAAACCUUUGUGGGGGCAGAACUCCAACUGAUUUUAAACAGAGUUCUGUGCAGAAAGGAUCUGUGGAGAGCAACAAACCUGGAAUGCUUAUUAACUAUGUGCAGGAGAAAUCUAAGAAGAAACUAAGAGGAAAAAAAAGAGGCUUCUCCAACUGAAGGAUGCAAUAAAAAAGUAAAUGAAAUGUGCAUAAGAUGACUUGUGAGAAAAAAUGUUACUAUGCAUGAUAAUCUGAAUGUUGCGUAUGGAAGGCUAAGAUGAAAAAGGUAAGUGACAGAUGUUGAGCCCAGUGACUGGAAGAAUAAUUAUAACAAACAGGAAGUAGAAGGAAAAUGUAUUUAGGGGAAAAGAUGGCUAUCUUUCAUACUGGUGUGUUAAGAUAGCUGUUGUAGUAGGCUCUAAAUGCAGGAGAUAGAAGCGUUUAAUGAAAGACUUGAGCUUACUGUCCUAGAUCUUCUAGAAAUUUGCUCUUUGAUAUUAAACCUUUGGAAAUUAAUAUCUUGUUCUACAUCCUCAAUUUCACUUCCAGUUCUCUUAGAUGCAGUAAGCUUAUCUUGGCAGGGUGGGGGUGGGGGAGUACUUUAAACAUAUGUUUGAUAUCAACAGUAAUAAUACAUUUAUAACCUCUCUCUCCCUAACUGAGAAAUACAUUCUCAUCAAAAUAACCAGUGGAAUAUUUAUUUAAAGAAUAUAACAAUAUUUAAAAUUUUCUGUUGUUAUAUAUUAGGACCAUGGAGAAUAGAAACAAAUAUGCUAUAUAUAGUCUUUUAAAUCAUACAUAUAUAAGUCAAAUAUAUACAUGUAAAUAUAUAUCUACAUCUAUAUUAACUUUCUAAAUAUACACCCACUACUGCCACUCUUCAUUUAGCCUCCAAUACUCUGCCAGCCACCGCUACCACUGUUUCAUGCCUGUGUAGACACCCUCCUCUCCCUGCCCCAAGAUCCACAGUUCUGCCUUGGUUCUCCCUCUGUUUGAAUGCCCUCCCACCCUACUGGGCUCUAACAGAACAUGCUGGGGUGCCUACCAAUAGUGAUGCCUUCCUCAUCCUCAUCCUACUUGGAUUCCAGCAUCAUGUGCUGGUCUGCUCCUACUCUGGAUUUUCUGCUUACCAGACUCAGCUCUAACACUCUGCUUCAGGCCACCACAGCUCAACCUACCUCCUUUCUACUUGACAUCUUGACACAUAUUUGCAUAUGGUACUAACAAUGGCAAAGAAGAUAAAUUACCUACUUAAUGAUAUUCAGAGUGAAUUAUUUAGGAAGAGAAUAGGAUGGAAAAGGGGAUAAGAUAUAAAUACUAAAUUAAGUAGAAAUAGGACUUUAUGAUCCUUUCAAAAGACUUUUGCCAAGUGAGUUAUAUUUUCCAAGUUCUAUGUAAAAGAUAUUCAGGAGUAAUAUGGGAGAGAAGGCUAAAUAUAUUGGCUAUUGCACUCCAAAGCAGAAAAUCCUAUGAAAUAUUUAAGUCUGGGAGCACUGAACACCAUCAGCUAACUUUCCAGGAAUCAGAAACAGAUUCUUUAGAGGAUUACUUCCUGUACAAAAAAAGCAAAAACUAAUAUAGCAGGCCUCAGCCUGCUAUCUUUAGAAAGGUGACUUGAGGCCGGGCUCGGUGGCUCACGAUUGUAAUCUCAGCACUUUGGAGGACCAAGGUGGGCGGAUCACUUGAGGUCAGGAGUUCGAGACCAGCCCGGGCAACAUGGCAAAACCCCCAUCUCUACUAACAGUACAAAAAUUAGCUGGGCAUGGUGGCGCAUACCUGUAAUCCUAGCUACUUAAGAGGCUGAGGUACGAGAAUCCCUUGAAACUGGAGGCAGAGGUUGCAGUGAGCUGAGAUCGCGCCACUGCAUUCCAGCCUGGGCGACAGACCAAGACUCUGUCUCCUUCCCAAAAAAUAAAUAAAUAAAAUAAAAUAAAA
Long non-coding RNA from Symphalangus syndactylus (siamang), 8560 nucleotides. RefSeq lists it as uncharacterized. The record is from RefSeq and is a predicted model, not a curated record. NCBI's taxonomy places the organism in Eukaryota, Metazoa, Chordata, Mammalia, Primates, Hylobatidae.